CUACGGGAGGCUCCAGUGAGGAAUAUUGCACAAUGGGGGGAACCCUGAUGCAGCAACGCCGCGUGGAGGAUGACGCAUUUCGGUGUGUAAACUCCUUUUAUAUGUCAAGAAAAUGACGGUAGCAUAUGAAUAAGCACCGGCUAACUCCGUGCCAGCAGCCGCGGUAAUACGGAGGGUGCAAGCGUUACUCGGAAUCACUGGGCGUAAAGGACGCGUAGGCGGGUUGGAAAGUCAGGUGUGAAAUCCUACAGCUUAACUGGAGAACUGCACUUGAAACUUCUAAUCUAGAGUAUGGGAGGGUGAUAUGGAAUUAGUGGUGUAGGGGUAAAAUCCGUAGAUAUCACUAGGAAUACCUAAAGCGAAGGCGAUCUCCUGGAACAUUACUGACGCUAAGGCGUGAAAGCGUGGGGAGCAAACAGGAUUAGAUACCCGUGUAGUC
RNAcentral lists this ribosomal RNA (439 nucleotides) under uncultured bacterium. RNAcentral's name for it is "partial 16S ribosomal RNA". It matches the Rfam family "Bacterial small subunit ribosomal RNA", at positions 339 to 795 of the family's 1533-position model. The record is from RNAcentral.